This is a long non-coding RNA of Glycine soja, 958 nucleotides long. RefSeq lists it as uncharacterized. The record is from RefSeq and is a predicted model, not a curated record. The transcript has 3 exons. Lineage: Eukaryota; Viridiplantae; Streptophyta; Magnoliopsida; Fabales; Fabaceae.
UUCCCUCAUAAGUCAAAACACACUUACUACAUUUUUCUUUUUAAUCUUCAAUUUCCUCCUUCUUGUGAAUAUUGGAUGGCUAAAUCAAUGGAGGAAAAACCUAAGCUCCUCUUCCAUGGAACAAUUCAAGCUACCAUCUUCAAUGCCACACCUUACUCACCUUCGUUUCCCUUCAAUUGUGUAUGUACAAAUGGAAAGCCUGCUUAUGUGACCAUCAACAUAGAUAACAAGAAGGUGGCGAAAACGACUCAAGAACGUGAAUGUUUGUGGAACCAAACCUUUCAGAUUCAGUGUGCUCAUCCAGAAGACUCAACAAUCACAAUUACACUGAAAUCAUCAUGCUCCAUUUUGGGGAGAUUUCACAUGCAGGCCAAGCGGUAGAAGGAAGAUAGUUUGAUCAAUGGUUUCUUCCCUCUCCUUAUGGAAAAUGGAAAACCAAUUCCACAGCUAAAAUUAAGAUUCAUGUUAUGGUUCAAGCCAGCAGAUAUGGAACCAAGCUGGACAAAGCUACUAAGCAAUGGGAAAUUUCAAGAGCUGAGGGAUGCUACAUUCCCACAAAGGUCUAAUUGCCAGGUUAAACUCUAUCAUGAUGCUCACCAUUCCUCUACUUUCCACCCUCCUUUUGAUCUAUGUGGAGCACCAAGAAAGCUGUGGGAAGAUGUCUAUAAAGCCAUUGAGGGUGCAAAAUAUUUGGUUUUUAUUGCAGGCUGGUCUUUCAAUCUCUAGAUGGUUCUGGUUAGAGAUCCUCAAACAGAAAUCCCACAUGCUAGGGAGAUAAAGCUAGGUGAGCUAUUGAAGAAGAAGGCAGAGGAAGGAGUGGCUGUGAGGGUUAACAAAAUUGUAAAGAAUAUUUAAUCUAUAUAUACAAAAAAAUUUAACAAAUUAUUCGUUCUAUCUAGAAAUAAAUAAUAUAUGUAGAGUACCAACAAGUUGUUGAUCCAAGUGAUAUUAGACUCGA